UGGGGAAUCUUGCGCAAUGGGCGAAAGCCUGACGCAGCAACGCCGCGUGCGGGAAGAAGGCCUUCGGGUUGUAAACCGCUUUCAGCAGGAACGAAAAUGACGGUACCUGCAGAAGAAGGUGCGGCCAACUAUGUGCCAGCAGCCGCGGUGAUACAUAGGCACCAAGCGUUGUCCGGAUUUAUUGGGCGUAAAGAGCUCGUAGGCGGUUCAGUCAGUCGGGGGGGAAAACUCUGGGCUUAACCCAGAGCC
Molecule: ribosomal RNA, 249 nt
Filed under: uncultured Acidimicrobiales bacterium
Lineage: Bacteria; Bacillati; Actinomycetota; Acidimicrobiia; Acidimicrobiales
Description: partial 16S ribosomal RNA
Rfam family: Bacterial small subunit ribosomal RNA
Source: RNAcentral